UGUUCUAACCCACAAGAUUGGACAUAAUAUAGAUGUAUAUUAUGACUGGGUCUCUUUGCUGUAUAGCAGAAAUUAAAGGAAGAUGGUAAAUCAAUGACACCAUAACAAAUUUUUUUUUUAAAAAAAAGACAUAGUAGUGCAGGCAUGGGGAAAGUCCAAGUUUCUCCUGAAAAUAUGCACAUACCAAUCUGAUAUGUGCAUGUCUCUGAGUUCUUCCAUAGGAACUAAGGCCCUCAUCCAGGUGGAGGAUGCUGACUUCAGGCUGAGCAGAAGCAUAUGGACCCCAGACUGGCUGGAACCAGAAGGCUGAUGACUGAGACUCCUGGAGCACUGCCCAGUUACCUCAUCACUAACCAAUCAGAAAAGGAAUGGAGACUUAUAUCCACAAUGGACUAGAGAGAAAGGAAGUACUUCCUUGCCAUGCUGACCACAGCCUUCCUGAUUGCAUCCUCCAAGUCGAUGCCAGAAGUAACAGAGAACUGGAUGUUGCUGAGGUCAACCAUCUUUUAGAGAUGAAUUAAACUUUCUUGGACUUGGCUGACAAGAGUGAGAGUCUGAGCACCAGGACUCACCAAUGUUUUUGGUCUUCACUGUCAUGCGGGAAUGACAUCUUAAACAAAAAUCAAGCACAGAGGAGCCUGACUGGGUGAUUGAGAUGAGGGGAAAAGGAAGCUUGGCAGAGAUUUAAUUCUUUAUUGGAAACAAACCCAA
This is a long non-coding RNA of Phacochoerus africanus (Common warthog), 711 nucleotides long. RefSeq lists it as uncharacterized. The transcript is spliced from 3 exons. NCBI's taxonomy places the organism in Eukaryota, Metazoa, Chordata, Mammalia, Artiodactyla, Suidae. The record is from RefSeq and is a predicted model, not a curated record.